CCUACGGGAGGCAGCAGUGGGGAAUAUUGCGCAAUGGGCGAAAGCCUGACGCAGCGACGCCGCGUGAGGGAUGAAGGUCUUCGGAUCGUAAACCUCUGUCAGCAGGGAAGAACGGUCACUGUGCUAAUCAGCAGUGAAUUGACGGUACCUGCAAAGGAAGCACCGGCUAACUCCGUGCCAGCCGCCGCGGUAAUACGGAGGGUGCGAGCGUUAAGCGGAAUUACUGGGCGUAAAGCGCUCGUAGGCGGUAUGUCAAGUCAAGGGUGAAAUCCCCGGGCUCAACGUGGGAACUGCCUUUGAAACUGGCAAACUGGAGUGUGGGAGAGGAUAGUGGAAUUCCAGGUGUAGGAGUGAAAUCCGUAGAUAUUAGGAGGAACACCAGUGGCGAAGGCGGUCUGCUGGACAGCAACUGACGCUGAGGCGCGAAAGCGUGGGGAGCAAACAGGAUUAGAUACCCGGGUAGUC
Molecule: ribosomal RNA, 465 nt
Filed under: uncultured bacterium
Lineage: Bacteria
Description: partial 16S ribosomal RNA
Rfam family: Bacterial small subunit ribosomal RNA
Source: RNAcentral